This 253-nucleotide ribosomal RNA is filed under the name uncultured bacterium. RNAcentral's name for it is "partial 16S ribosomal RNA". It matches the Rfam family "Bacterial small subunit ribosomal RNA", at positions 524 to 776 of the family's 1533-position model. The record is from RNAcentral.
UACGUAGGGAGCGAGCGUUGUCCGGAAUUACUGGGUGUAAAGGGUGCGUAGGCGGCCUUGCAAGUCAGGCGUGAAAACCAUGGGCUCAACCCGUGGACUGCGUUUGAAACUGUGAGGCUUGAGUGAAGUAGAGGUAGGCGGAAUUCCCGGUGUAGCGGUGAAAUGCGUAGAGAUCGGGAGGAACACCAGUGGCGAAGGCGGCCUACUGGGCUUUAACUGACGCUGGGGCACGAAAGCAUGGGUAGCAAACAGG